Long non-coding RNA from Humulus lupulus (European hop), 322 nucleotides. RefSeq lists it as uncharacterized. The transcript has 3 exons. The record is from RefSeq and is a predicted model, not a curated record. Lineage: Eukaryota; Viridiplantae; Streptophyta; Magnoliopsida; Rosales; Cannabaceae.
CAGGUUGGAGAAAAUGAACCAUUUAUAAGUGAACUUUUAACAGGCCUUCCAACCAUUGUUGCAGAUCUUGAGCCUCAUCAGAUUCAUUCAUUCUAUGAAUCGGUUGGUCAUAUGAUUCAUGCAGAAUCUGAUCCUCAGAAGAGGGAUGAGUUUCUACACAGAUUGAUGGAGCUGCCUAAUCAGAAAUGGGCUGAAAUUAUAGGACAGGCACGCUUAAGCGUUGAUUUCCUGAAGGAUCAAGAUGUGAUAAGGACGGUGUUGAAUAUUGUGUGUAUAGAUUCUUGGCUCCUACUUCACUUCUGUGAUGUAUGUGGAGCAUUGG